Molecule: ribosomal RNA, 236 nt
Filed under: uncultured bacterium
Lineage: Bacteria
Description: partial 16S ribosomal RNA
Rfam family: Bacterial small subunit ribosomal RNA
Source: RNAcentral
UUAUCCGGAAUUAUUGGGCGUAAAGAGCUCGUAGGCGGUUUGUCGCGUCUGCCGUGAAAGUCCGGGGCUCAACUCCGGAUCUGCGGUGGGUACGGGCAGACUAGAGUGAUGUAGGGGAGACUGGAAUUCCUGGUGUAGCGGUGAAAUGCGCAGAUAUCAGGAGGAACACCGAUGGCGAAGGCAGGUCUCUGGGCAUUAACUGACGCUGAGGAGCGAAAGCAUGGGGAGCGAACAGG